RNAcentral lists this long non-coding RNA (407 nucleotides) under Olea europaea (common olive). RNAcentral's name for it is "long non-coding RNA (OEUR_LNC010888)". The record is from RNAcentral. Lineage: Eukaryota; Viridiplantae; Streptophyta; Magnoliopsida; Lamiales; Oleaceae.
AUUUUUAUCCCAUCUGGCCAACUUUCUUGACUGAAGAAACACUAUUGUUCAUUCUUUUAAAGAGGAGAAAAAUUAAAAAUUUGCUUUAGCCACCAUUAUUCCUUGCUAUAGUAGAUCUUCAUUGGGAAAUGAUAGCAUUCAUUAAUGGUGUUGAUAAGUGGGUGGGAACAGUUAAAUUAUCUUCAUUUGUCUUUUACAAGGAACCAUUACUAUUAGUAUACAUUUCCUUUAACUCUAUAUUCAUCCGUUUUUCUCUUCUCUGUUAAAUAAUACAACUCCCGAGGGAACGAACUCCCAUCCCCUUACGAAUCAAUAUUUUUGGGCAAAAAUUGAUUAACCUUUCUUCCAGUUUAUCAUAAUCUAUAUACCCAGUCCAUGGGAAGAAAUUAUUAUAAAAUUGAAAAUAA